CCAUCAUUUGCCCAUGGUAGUAACAACAUCUGAGCAGUUCUAACAGCUUUCGUACGUUGCCUGCGUUCCCCAGCUUCCCACAGUUCCUGCCUGGCCUGCUUUAAUGUGUAUACAUAAACUGCCUGGACUCCACUGGCAGCUCUUGAGUGCGUAACCCCUGCUAGAACAACUCGUUAAUUUUACAGAUAAGGAAAUGACACCUGGAGCACCCAAGAGAGUGGCCCAUCCAUACCACUUUUUCUAAUAUAUUCUUUUCUUUUGUCAGUUUAAUUUCCUGGGUCCCAGUUGGAAAACCUAGGAUGGAGGAGGGAAAAAUCUUCAACACCUAGAGUUUUGGCAACCGCUGUGCGACAGCUGGGACACCCCACUUGCUCCAGAGGCUGAAGUGGAAAUCUGGUACCCCUGGCAAAAGCCUCCUCCACCCUGAACUUCUGUCCAAAGCAACAGAACCAAGUGACCAUGGACUAAAACCUGAAACUGUGAGCAAUUUGUUUAUCUCAGGUGUUUUAUUACAACAAUGGAAAGCUGACUUCCAUAGGUUUAUUUCUGCUUCGGUUCUACAAUUAU
This is a long non-coding RNA of Heterocephalus glaber (naked mole-rat), 567 nucleotides long. NCBI's taxonomy places the organism in Eukaryota, Metazoa, Chordata, Mammalia, Rodentia, Bathyergidae. The record is from Ensembl.